CUCGGCUCAACCGAGAAACUGCCAUUGAUACUGUAAGGCUUGAAUAUAGUUGAAGUAGGCGGAAUACGACAUGUAGCGGUGAAAUGCAUAGAUAUGUCGUGGAACACCGAUCGCGAAGGCAGCUUACUAAGCUAUUAUUGACGCUGAUGUACGAAAGCGUGGGGAGCGAACAG
Molecule: ribosomal RNA, 173 nt
Filed under: uncultured bacterium
Lineage: Bacteria
Description: partial 16S ribosomal RNA
Rfam family: Bacterial small subunit ribosomal RNA
Source: RNAcentral